Molecule: long non-coding RNA, 776 nt
Organism: Cajanus cajan (pigeon pea)
Lineage: Eukaryota; Viridiplantae; Streptophyta; Magnoliopsida; Fabales; Fabaceae
Source: RefSeq, a predicted model, not a curated record
GCGCCUCCCUCUUAUCAAAAAAUUAGAAUUCCCUUCUACCUGCGCGCCUCCCUCUUGUCAAAGAAAUGAGAAAACCCUAAACACAGUUCGACGUUUGAGUGCCAUCCUUGUAGUGAAGAACAUUUGUUUCUUUCUCAGAUGAUUCUUGCGUAGAUAACUCAGGCCAUACCGCCAUUAGCAUUUCCGUUCCAUUCAUGGGCAUGGUCCCUUUGAAAGACGAAGUCAUACGAGUUUCUCCAUCAAUUGAAUCAAAGCAUAGAGAAAUUAGAAAACCCCACCAAUCCUAAGCGCUUCUACCAAUCGCCGUAUCGUUGGAAACGCUUAAACCCGUUGAUUUUGGUCCCAAGCUUCUACCAAUUGUCGUCAUGGUUUCAUGGGGGUUUCAUCAUUAGAGGUGAUUAUUAAGUUUUGGCUCUGAUGGGGUUUUGGGGAAAUUGAUUUUUUUUUUCAAGGGUUCAAGUUUGUUGCGUUGUCGACCCACUUCAAAGAACGGUAGAUUGCACUCAAGAAGGAGAUUUAUGCAGGAGGAAUCACAUACAAGGGUAUCCAUCUAUACGAAUCUUUCGUAAAGGAAGUGAUGUUAGCCAAAUAAUGCUUUAAGUGUUCCUAAUACACCUUUGGAUGCAAUUAGAGGAUCAUCUGGUGCUAGCAACCCUUAGUUUGCAUAUAAUGUAUUUUGGAUUUAAAGUUUAGUAUGAGGCUAAUUUGACAAUGUUAUGGAUUUUAUGUUGUACUUGGAUUUAUAAUAGAAGUUUGAAUUAUAAAUCUUUGAACUA